UGGAGAAAGACAGAUUUCUUAGCUGAAUUCUUUAAUGAAAAAUGACAUCUGCAGAAUUCCUGGAGUCCCAUCUUAAAAUUUCGAUUCAAAUUUUUGUUUUUCUGCCUUCAUUUCACAUCCUCAAAUCCCUUGUACUGCCUAUUUCAGUGCUAUUGCCUAAUUGCUGAGGCUUUUUUAUUGGGAUCCAGCAGAGCCGUAAGUGAGUUCUGCUCUCACCCCACAGGCACAAGGAGGCUAUGGAGACAUAUCUCUUGUUUCUCUACAAUUAUCUAUGCAAGGAAUCAGUUAUAUUCUUUAAUUGGUGGUACAUCUGAAAAGACACAACAGAGCACUCUCCUUACAGAAAUGGCACAGCUGAUGACAGGCUGUCAGACCCAUCAGAGCCUUCUGAGUACUUUUGCUAAAUGGUUGAACACCAAACCAAAAGCAACUUGAACAAUGUGUUUUUGUCAGCAGCUUUCAAAAUCUACUCCAUUAUAAAUGGCAUAUACACAUGUGAGUAAGUACAUAUUCAUACAGACUCAGUAGCUAAAUGUGUCUUGAUUUAUGGAAAAAUGUUUUUAUUUCUCCUAUGACAGACAAGCUUGAUUUUUAGAGUACAUUCCUAUUUAACAGCAAAUGGAAUGGAAGAACUGCUUAGAACAAAAAGCAGAGUUGGGGGAAGGGACUAUUAUGACAGUGGGAAAGGGUUUGCAUGUGUGGAAAUUAUAAAUAAGAUGUCGUUCAGUGACAUAGGUAACUCCUGUGAGUUUUGCAAGGACACUGUAAAAUAGUACAAGGUGCAAGGGUGAAUGUAAAAUAGUAACUGUCCAAAGAAUCAUUAACAGCUUAUUAGCAGUACCAAACUGUAUUUGAGGUACAGAAUAUGUGACCUUAUUUUAAGCUAUACCUCUCCCUCUUUCUAUGUCUCAGGGGAAAGCAUUAAAUUGUUUUUCGUGGAAAACUUUGCAGUAUUAAGGGAUGAAGAGGUCGUGUGGAAACAGGCUCAACUUCCCAGUUUUAUACUGCUACCGAGAAGAAAGAUGGAAACCUAUUUCAAGUCAUGACUUCUUUGUGAGGAUAAGCAUAGGGGGACUUCAUGAGAAUGUCUGAAGGAGAAUCAAAUCCAAAUACCAACUUUAAUUUCAUACUGCUCUGCAUGUACAAGAUUUUCAUGAGUUCCAUCAGCGCUUUCCAAAUCAAGCUUCAUGCUGAUCACUGAAGAGUGAAAGUGAGAGAAAAUCCUUUCCUAGCAAGUUGCGUAAAUGAUGAAAUUGUUGAGCAGCUACACAAGGAAAAGAGAUUGGUUAUCUCGUGUUAUGUUCAUGUUGUUCUGUGUUAAAUGUAUUUUCUUCAAGUAAACAUGUCAGUCUUUUGUUACAAAGUAACAGUCUUACCUCGACUAUUCCUAUUUUUCCAUCGGUAGUCUUCCCAUAUUGGUCCACAAAAGC
Corapipo altera (White-ruffed manakin) is the source of this 1430-nucleotide long non-coding RNA. RefSeq lists it as uncharacterized. The record is from RefSeq and is a predicted model, not a curated record. The transcript has 3 exons. Lineage: Eukaryota; Metazoa; Chordata; Aves; Passeriformes; Pipridae.